UGCCAGCAGCCGCGGUAAUACAUAGGUGGCGAGCGUUAUUCGGAAUCACUGGGCGUAAAGGGUCCGCAGGGGGCUACAUAAGUCUGAUGUGAAAGCCGGGAGCUUAACUCCCGAAGUGCAUUGGAAACUGUAUAGCUAGAGUAUAUGAGAGGCAAGCGGAAUUCGUGGUGUAGCGGUGGAAUGCGUAGAUAUCACGAGGAAGGCCAAAGGCGAAAGCAGCUUGCUGGCAUAUUACUGACCCUGAGGGACGAAAGCUAGGGGAGCGAAAAGGAUUAGAUA
RNAcentral lists this ribosomal RNA (279 nucleotides) under uncultured bacterium. Its description in RNAcentral is "partial 16S ribosomal RNA". It matches the Rfam family "Bacterial small subunit ribosomal RNA", at positions 506 to 784 of the family's 1533-position model. The record is from RNAcentral.